RNAcentral lists this ribosomal RNA (664 nucleotides) under uncultured bacterium. RNAcentral's name for it is "bacterial SSU rRNA". It matches the Rfam family "Bacterial small subunit ribosomal RNA", at positions 240 to 895 of the family's 1533-position model. The record is from RNAcentral.
AUUAGCUAGUAGGUGGGGUAACGGCUCACCUAGGCGACGAUCCCUAGCUGGUCUGAGAGGAUGACCAGCCACACUGGAACUGAGACACGGUCCAGACUCCUACGGGAGGCAGCAGUGGGGAAUCUUCGGCAAUGGGGGCAACCCUGACCGAGCAACGCCGCGUGAGUGAAGAAGGUUUUCGGAUCGUAAAGCUCUGUUGUAAGUCAAGAACGGGUGUGAGAGUGGAAAGUUCACACUGUGACGGUAGCUUACCAGAAAGGGACGGCUAACUACGUGCCAGCAGCCGCGGUAAUACGUAGGUCCCGAGCGUUGUCCGGAUUUAUUGGGCGUAAAGCGAGCGCAGGCGGUUUGAUAAGUCUGAAGUUAAAGGCUGUGGCUCAACCAUAGUUCGCUUUGGAAACUGUCAAACUUGAGUGCAGAAGGGGAGAGUGGAAUUCCAUGUGUAGCGGUGAAAUGCGUAGAUAUAUGGAGGAACACCGGUGGCGAAAGCGGCUCUCUGGUCUGUAACUGACGCUGAGGCUCGAAAGCGUGGGGAGCGAACAGGAUUAGAUACCCUGGUAGUCCACGCCGUAAACGAUGAGUGCUAGGUGUUGGAUCCUUUCCGGGAUUCAGUGCCGCAGCUAACGCAUUAAGCACUCCGCCUGGGGAGUACGACCGCAAGGUU